This is a non-coding RNA of Cinara cedri, 1139 nucleotides long. The record is from the annotation of a GenBank genome assembly. NCBI's taxonomy places the organism in Eukaryota, Metazoa, Arthropoda, Insecta, Hemiptera, Aphididae.
CUAAAAAUUACUAAAUAACUUGAUCAGUUUUUCAUUCAGCUAGGAAAAUAGUUUAAAUAUAUUAUGCACAUGCUCAAAACUGUUUUUAUUAUAUCUAUGAAAAUAUUUAUCAUAUAGCUUUGCCCUUUUUCUGUACAAUAAUAUGGUUAAAAUAACACAUUUGAUAAUGUUAUUUUACUUGGUUACUAUUUGCAUGACAACAAUAUAUAAUAACACUGUUCAUCUGAUCGCCAUGAAGCUGGGAGGUUGUUGAGUACACUCUUAAAGGUUUCUGGUAUAGUACAUCUAUACAAUUCUUCGACAACCCCACUAUCAUCCACAAAAACCGGAUUUUAGGUACUUUUGGUAAGAAAGAAUUAUUUUUUUUAUUUAUAGAUUACCAUGAUUUAUUUAUUCGUAUGACAUGCAUAACAGUACAACAACACUAACGAGAGUAUAGAUAAAUUGGAUUAAAGUAAAUAAAAUAACAUAAAAAUAAGUAAGAACAAAAUAUAAAUAAAAAUUUGAAUGNCCUUAACGGGCAUUCUUCGAUUAUGUGGCUCAUUGACUGUACACUUUCUCCGCAAUCACAAUUUGGGUCGUCUUUCAGUUUCCAUUUAUGCAUUAAAUCCUUACAUCUCCCUUGUCUAGUUCUUGUGCGAUUUAGUCUGGUCCAUAUUUUCCUCGAUUUCCUCGGUUACCAUGAUGAUAUAGUAAUAUGGAUAAAAAAAAAACUAAUAAAUUUAACUGCGUUGUCAUGGGCAUAUUUUUAUUAUGUCUAUAAUGUGUAUUUUAUGAAUGUGUAUAUAGAUAACUAGUAGGUAUUUUCUUUUUGUCAUAUAUGUUGAGAAUAUGAUUAAUUUGAAUUGCCGAAAAAAAAACAUUAAUAUUAUGUACACUUUAAUUUGUAGGUAAUGCAAAACAUACAUAGACAUACAUAACUUCUUGAAUCUUUUGAAUACUGCAUCUUCCACAGUUAUACCCCCCUAAUUAUUAUCCAUUAGUCGAUCUAAUCUAAUACAGGACAGAAAAAUGCACUGGAGCUUCAAAAACAGACAAGUAACUGGUAGCAAGAUAAGAAAAGAAUACAGGAAAAAAAGCAAUUGGCACAGAAAACCUCUUGACUUGUAUAACUUGUUUAAUUUUAUAGCUGAGUAGCU